GACCGCUCCGGUGGCUUAAUGGUUAGAGCGUCUUCCUCAGAUGCGGGACGUUGCGGGUUCGAUCUCCCGAUCGAGUUA
Potamilus streckersoni is the source of this 78-nucleotide non-coding RNA. The record is from the annotation of a GenBank genome assembly. NCBI's taxonomy places the organism in Eukaryota, Metazoa, Mollusca, Bivalvia, Unionida, Unionidae.